RNAcentral lists this ribosomal RNA (253 nucleotides) under uncultured bacterium. RNAcentral describes it as "partial 16S ribosomal RNA". It matches the Rfam family "Bacterial small subunit ribosomal RNA", at positions 524 to 776 of the family's 1533-position model. The record is from RNAcentral.
UACAGAGGUCUCAAGCGUUGGUCGGAUUCAUUGGGCGUAAAGGGUGUGUAGGUGGCGCCGUAAGUCGGGUGUGAAAUUUCGGAGCUUAACUCCGAAACUGCAUUCGAUACUGCGGUGCUUGAGGACUGGAGAGGAGACUGGAAUUCAUGGUGUAGCAGUGAAAUGCGUAGAGAUCAUGAGGAAGACCAGUGGCGAAGGCGGGUCUCUGGACAGUUCCUGACACUGAGACACGAAGGCCAGGGGAGCAAACGGG